AUGAAGGUAAUAGGAGAGAGGCUUUUGUAGCCCACCGAAGAUGUUAAUCUUUCAGGUACCAUUAUUUAUGG
Molecule: non-coding RNA, 71 nt
Filed under: Clostridium sp.
Lineage: Bacteria; Bacillati; Bacillota; Clostridia; Eubacteriales; Clostridiaceae
Also listed under: 1 other name
Description: Glycine sequence
Rfam family: Glycine riboswitch aptamer
About the family: This family represents the bacterial glycine riboswitch. Glycine riboswitches usually consist of two metabolite-binding aptamers domains with similar structures in tandem.
Source: RNAcentral